RNAcentral lists this ribosomal RNA (500 nucleotides) under uncultured bacterium. RNAcentral describes it as "partial 16S ribosomal RNA". It matches the Rfam family "Bacterial small subunit ribosomal RNA", at positions 30 to 523 of the family's 1533-position model. The record is from RNAcentral.
AUUGAACGCUGGCGGCAGGCCUAACACAUGCAAGUCGAGCGGACUGAGGUAGCUUGCUACCAAGGUUAGCGGCGGACGGGUGAGUAACGCGUAGGAAUCUACCUGGUAAUGGGGGAUAACGUUCCGAAAGGAACGCUAAUACCGCAUACGCCCUAAGGGGGAAAGUGGGGGAUCUUCGGACCUCACGUUAUCAGAUGAGCCUGCGUAGGAUUAGCUAGUUGGUAGGGUAAAGGCCUACCAAGGCGACGAUCCUUAACUGGUCUGAGAGGAUGAUCAGUCACACUGGAACUGAGACACGGGCCAGACUCCUACGGGAGGCAGCAGUGGGGAAUAUUGGACAAUGGGGACAACCCUGAUCCAGCCAUGCCGCGGGUGUGAAGAAGGCCUUCGGGUUGUAAAGCACUUUCGGUCAGAAAGAAGGGUGUUGAAUUAAUACUUCAGCAUUUUGACGGUACUGACAUAAGAAGCACCGGCUAACUCCGUGCCAGCCGCCGCAGUAA